Molecule: long non-coding RNA, 575 nt
Filed under: Homo sapiens (human)
Lineage: Eukaryota; Metazoa; Chordata; Mammalia; Primates; Hominidae
Description: HSALNT0138730
Source: RNAcentral
CACGCUCGGCACAGCUCUUCUGAGAAAGGCCGGGAGCCUGCAGGAGUUCAGAGGCUAAACAGAAACUAGCCCUCUCAAAAGACUCUGCUGCUGAUAUCAACCAACCACCUUAUGCUGCCCCUCCCUUUUGCAGUUUUGGUGCAACAACAGACCAGCAUUUCUUCCUGAUGAGAGACAAUUGACCAUGGAGUGGUUCUGGCCAGUCUAUGGAGAAUGUGCAGCAAAGGUUUUCCUGUCAUCUGCUUCAUCUUUUGAUGUCAGAGGGCCUAAAACUCCACCCUGGGAUUAUGCUAACACUGCCAUUUUUUGUACACAGGACCCAUGAAGAGGCAUGAAGCUCAAUUGCACAUGUGCAUGUUUUUCCUUUUGUAAAUAUUAAUGACUCCUCCUAUAAUCUGUUGAAUAUGUACACUUAACCACUCAACUUACCAUACGUUUCUGUUCCCUUUUCCCCUCCCUUGAAGUAUCUGUUUUUGGCUUCUGACCAGAGACUACACUUCCCAGCCUCUGGGAAUGGCCACCCUGCAGGCUGAAACUCUUCAUGAGAAAUAAAGCUCUUCUUUCUAAAUUUAUGA